AUACGUAGGGUGCGAGCGUUGUCCGGAAUUACUGGGCGUAAAGAGCUCGUAGGUGGUUUGUCGCGUCGUCUGUGAAAUUCCGGGGCUUAACUCCGGGCGUGCAGGCGAUACGGGCAUAACUUGAGUACUGUAGGGGAGACUGGAAUUCCUGGUGUAGCGGUGAAAUGCGCAGAUAUCAGGAGGAACACCGGUGGCGAAGGCGGGUCCCUGGGCAGUAACUGACGUUGAGGAGCGAAAGCAUGGGUAGCGAACAGGAUUAGAUACCCUGGUAGUCCAUGCCGUAAACGGUGGGCGCUAGGUGUAGGGGUCUUCCACGAUUUCUGUGCCGUAGCUAACGCAUUAAGCGCCCCGCCUGGGGAGUACGGCCGCAAGGCUAAAACUCAAAGGAAUUGACGGGG
This 398-nucleotide ribosomal RNA is filed under the name uncultured bacterium. Its description in RNAcentral is "partial 16S ribosomal RNA". It matches the Rfam family "Bacterial small subunit ribosomal RNA", at positions 523 to 918 of the family's 1533-position model. The record is from RNAcentral.